UCAUUUUGGAAAAAGUAGCGCGUCCAGGCGCGAUGCUCGCUGAAUGAGGGAGUGGAGGCGCGCUGAGGCUCCCCCACUCAGCAGAGGUGCAUCAGGAGGGGGCGGAGCCAUAGUACACUGGACCGCGCCUGACGCACACAGGUCCAAGUAGAAGCAUGGAUUCAAUUCACGUCCUUCAAAGUAAAACACCAUAUACUUUGAAGUAUUAAGUCCACAGCCUGGAUUUAACCUCCCAACUGUAUUACCAGUCGAAACCUUGGAGACACCCUCAAAUUCAAAUGGUCUCAAACACAUUAAGAGAUCAAUCUUAAUAAUGUACAGGUCAUAAAACAUCAUCUACAUCAUAAAGCUGCCUGAGAAAACACUAAGAUGUGCAAACCUGAUAUCUAGGCAAAAGGGCCAUACUUUGAAGAUUCAAUUAUAAAACGUUUAGUUGUACAUCAGUAUUUAUUCAUAUUGUCAAUGACCUAGGUACAAAUGUACAAUUCAGUACAUUUUUAAAUAAUAAAAAAAACACUGGAUUAGUUUAAUAAUUUAGUUAGGUCAUACUGUACAUAUUAGUGCUGAACACUUUUCUAAUCUAAUUGUGACCUUUUUUCUACAGAAUUGUGAUUUAAAUACAGUAAGGAAGUAUUUGUACCAAAAGAUGUUCAAAGAUACUUCAAAACAAUAAAAUACUAGCUUAGGAAUCCAUCCAUCCAUUUUCUGAACCGCUUAGUCCCCACGGGGGUCACGGGAGUGCUGGAGCCUAUCCCAGCCGUCAUUGCGCAGUAGGCGGGGGGACACCCUGAACCGGUUGCCAGCCAAUCGCAGGGCACACAGAGACAAACAACCAUCUGCACUCGCACUCACACCUAGGGACAAUUUGGAGACUUCAAUCGGCCUACCAAGGAUGUUUUUGGGAUGUGGGAGGAAACCGGAGUGCCCGGAGAAAACCCACGCGGGCCCGAGGAGAACAUGCAAACUCCACACAGGGAGGGCCAGAGGUAGAAUCGAACCCGCACCCUUCUAGGGUGAGGCGGACGUGCUACCCAGUGCGCCACUGAGCCGCCUAGCUUAGUCAUGAAUACAGUAAUUAAAAAGAAAGUGUAUUCUUUUUUAUUUUCCACGUUUUUAUUUUGCUUUCUGUGACUUGCCUGUUUCCAAAAGGAGAUGAAACCCCACCCCCCAGACACAACACAGACAUCCGUCUGGAUUAGUCAUCGUGUGCAACUCUGUGGAUCUACAUUGCUUAAAGACUCAAUGAUCCCAUUAGGAAAUCGCAUCCACUCUGUGAUAUCAUCAUGCUAAAUUAUUACUUUUCAGGGUCAUUUUCAAUGAUUUUGUUGAUUUUAUUUUUUUAGGUAUACCCCUGCUCAACAACAUCUAAUAUUUACAUAAUAACCAUGUGUUGUUGGAGUUUGAUUAUAGUUUAAUUUUAGUUUAGUAUGGCUUAUUUUAUCUUAGUUUAGUUCGAAGAGUUGAUAACACAUUAAUCGUGAGUGUGUGUGUGUGUGCAUAUGUGCACGAGGAAGCAGACAGUCUUUCCUGCCAAACUGGCUCAUCAAAUGAGUCAUUGUGUUUUUUGUCCACAAAGUUUUAAUAAACACCAGGAUGCUUUGUUUUUAAAAAUA
Long non-coding RNA from Syngnathus typhle (broad-nosed pipefish), 1613 nucleotides. RefSeq lists it as uncharacterized. NCBI's taxonomy places the organism in Eukaryota, Metazoa, Chordata, Actinopteri, Syngnathiformes, Syngnathidae. The transcript is spliced from 2 exons. The record is from RefSeq and is a predicted model, not a curated record.